GAUGAACGCUGGCGGCGUGCCUAAUACAUGCAAGUCGAGCGAACGGACGAGAAGCUUGCUUCUCUGAUGUUAGCGGCGGACGGGUGAGUGACACGUGGAUAACCUACCUAUAAGAAUGGGAUAACUUCGGGAAACCGGAGCUAAUACCGGAUAAUAUUUUGAACGGCAUGGUUCAAAAGUGAAAGACGGUCUUGCUGUCACUUAUAGAUGGAUCCGCGCUGCAUUAGCUAGUUGGUAAGGUAACGGCUUACCAAGGCAACGAUGCAUAGCCGACCUGAGAGGGUGAUCGGCCACCCUGGAACUGAGACACGGUCCAGACUCCUACGGGAGGCAGCAGUAGGGACUCUUACGCGAUGGGCGAAAGCCUGACAGAGCAACGCCGCGUGAGUGAUGAAGGUCUUCGGAUCGUAAAACUCUGUUAUUAGGGAAGAACAUAUGUGUAAGUAACUGUGCACAUCUUGACGGUACCUAAUCAGAAAGCCACGGCUAACUACGUG
RNAcentral lists this ribosomal RNA (497 nucleotides) under uncultured bacterium. Its description in RNAcentral is "partial 16S ribosomal RNA". It matches the Rfam family "Bacterial small subunit ribosomal RNA", at positions 28 to 507 of the family's 1533-position model. The record is from RNAcentral.